RNAcentral lists this long non-coding RNA (717 nucleotides) under Gossypium barbadense (sea-island cotton). Its description in RNAcentral is "long non-coding RNA (GBAR_LNC015793)". Lineage: Eukaryota; Viridiplantae; Streptophyta; Magnoliopsida; Malvales; Malvaceae. The record is from RNAcentral.
UAAAUUUAACACUCAACUAAAACUUAAUUUUUUUAUUAUGAUAAAAACGACUGUACAAGCCCAAAUUGCCUGGGCCCAAACAAAAAACAAAGCAGGCAAUUUUAGUUUUUUAAUAGCAGGCCUAAACUCGUCUAAGGCCCAACAAAUAAAUGGCCCAAUAACAAAACUAACCUAAGCCCAGCACAGACAUCAGCCCAAAACACAAAAAAACAAAAGAGGAAAACCCUAGCCGCAUCUGCCUCAGCGCCGCAACAGCACCCACGCCGCGCCCAACGCCCGAUCGCCACACGUUUCGGCCUCCACGCGCGCCAAACUCUCCACGAACACCUAAAAAACGGACUCAAGGAGUCCAAAGAGAAAAAAACAGCAAGCAAUAUUGUUUUUUUUCCCUCGAUUUAUUUUCUUUUCGGCCUAUAAAAGGCCCUUUUAAAUCUGUAAAAGGGACGAUUGAUGAAUGGAGAAAAUACGCAAGAAAUAGAAAAAAGCAUUGAAUACAGAUUGUUUUUGAUUCAAGGUGAAAUUUUUUCGUUUUAUUAUUCUUUUUAUUUCAUUUGUUUUGAUUUUUUUUUAAAAAAAGUAACAAAGGAAAGAAAACUUACCUGAGUUGGGGUCGGAAUCGAGGCCGGAUCGCCUGAGAGGCGGCGCAAGGACGCUAGGGUUCCAAACCCUAGCAGAGCAAAAAGAGAGGCAUCAGUUUUUUUUUACUGUUUUUAUGAU